GUAGGUGAACCUGCGGAAGGAUCAUUAUUGAAUUUUUUGGUGGUGGAUUGUUGCUGGCCUUUGGGUAUGUGCACAUCCUCCUCCGAUUUCUAUUCAUCCACCUGUGCACUUUUUGUAGGAGUUCUUUCAUCGGGUUUUUGAAGGUGCUCAUUAUGAGUUACUUGAAAAGACUAGUUGACAAGGCUUCUAUGUUCUUAUAAACCAUUGAAGUAUGUUAUAGAAUGAUCUUGUUAUUGGGACUUUAUUGACCCUUUAAACUUAAUACAACUUUCAGCAACAGAUCUCUUGGCUCUC
This 294-nucleotide unclassified non-coding RNA is filed under the name rhizosphere metagenome. RNAcentral's name for it is "partial ribosomal RNA internal transcribed spacer region". The record is from RNAcentral.